UGGUAUAGCUCAGCUGGUAGAGCAGCUGAUUUGUAAUCAGCAGGUCGGGGGUUCGAAUCC
Molecule: transfer RNA, 60 nt
Filed under: human gut metagenome
Rfam family: tRNA
About the family: Transfer RNA (tRNA) molecules are approximately 80 nucleotides in length. Their secondary structure includes four short double-helical elements and three loops (D, anti-codon, and T loops). Further hydrogen bonds mediate the characteristic L-shaped molecular structure. tRNAs have two regions of fundamental functional importance: the anti-codon, which is responsible for specific mRNA codon recognition, and the 3' end, to which the tRNAs corresponding amino acid is attached (by aminoacyl-tRNA synthetases). tRNAs cope with the degeneracy of the genetic code in two manners: having more than one tRNA (with a specific anti-codon) for a particular amino acid; and 'wobble' base-pairing, i.e. permitting non-standard base-pairing at the 3rd anti-codon position.
Source: RNAcentral